This 253-nucleotide ribosomal RNA is filed under the name uncultured bacterium. RNAcentral describes it as "partial 16S ribosomal RNA". It matches the Rfam family "Bacterial small subunit ribosomal RNA", at positions 524 to 776 of the family's 1533-position model. The record is from RNAcentral.
UACGGAAGGUCCCGGCGUUAUCCGGAUUUAUUGGGUUUAAAGGGAGCGUAGGCCGUGGAUUAAGCGUGUUGUGAAAUGUAGACGCUCAACGUCUGACUUGCAGCGCGAACUGGUUCACUUGAGUGUGCGCAACGCAGGCGGAAUUCGUGGUGUAGCGGUGAAAUGCUUAGAUAUCACGAAGAACUCCGAUUGCGAAGGCAGCUUGCGGGAGCACAACUGACGCUGAAGCUCGAAAGUGCGGGUAUCAAACAGG